This 66-nucleotide transfer RNA is filed under the name Bolboceratex sp. BOL01. RNAcentral's name for it is "tRNA-Thr". It matches the Rfam family "tRNA". Rfam says of the family: Transfer RNA (tRNA) molecules are approximately 80 nucleotides in length. Their secondary structure includes four short double-helical elements and three loops (D, anti-codon, and T loops). The record is from RNAcentral. Lineage: Eukaryota; Metazoa; Arthropoda; Insecta; Coleoptera; Geotrupidae.
GUUUUAAUAAUUUAAUUUAAAAUAUUGGUCUUGUAAACCAAAAAUAAGAAUGAUUCUUUUAAAACA